CGGGGCCUCGCAAUUGGAAUGAGUACACUUUAAAUCCUUGUACGAGGAUCGAGUGGAGGGCAAGUCUGGUGCCAGCCGCCGCGGUAAUUCCAGCUCCACUAGCGUAUAUUAAAGUUGUUGCGGUUGAAACGCUCGUAGUUUGACUUCUGCUCCGGACCGGCGGUCCGCCUUAGCGGCGGCUACUGCCGGGUUCCGAGCUGUGUCCCCGCCGGCGCACAUGGGGUUUUUAUGCCCUUAACCGGGUGUCCCCUUGUGGCCGGCACGUUUACUUUGAAAAAAUUAGAGUGCUCAGAGCAGGCUGGUUUUUGCUUACAGCCCGAAUGGUCGUGCAUGGAAUGAUGGAACAGGACCUCGGUUCUAUUUUGUCGGUUUUUCGGAACCCGAGGUAAUGAUUAAUAGAAGCAGACGGGGGCAUUCGUACUGCGACGCUAGAGGUGAAAUUCUUAGACCGUCGCAUGACGACCUACUGCGAAAGCAUCUGCCAAGGAUGUUUUCAUUGAUCAAGAACGAAAGUUAGAGGUUCGAAGGCGAUCAGAUACCGCCCUAGUUCUAACCUUAAACGAUGCUGACUAGCGAUCCGCCGCAGUUAUUCCCAUGACCCGGCGGGUAGCUUCCGGGAAACCAAAGUCUUUGAGUUCCGGGGGAAGUAUGGUUGCAAAGCUGAAACUUAAAGGAAUUGACGGAAGGGCACCACCAGGAGUGGAGCCUGCGGCUCAAUUUGACUCAACACGGGGAAACUCACCAGGCCAGGACACCGGAAGGAUUGACAGAAUGAAGGCUCUUUCUCGAUUCGGUGGGUGGUGGUGCAUGGCCGUUCUUAGUUGGUGGAGUGAUCUGUCUGGUUAAUUCCGAUAACGAACGAGACUCUAGCCUGCUAAAUAGUCGACGGAUCUCAACCCCGUUGCCCCCGUUGUCGUUCGCGGCGAUGCGGGGCGCGGGUUCCCCGAAACCCGGUCGUCGUGCGGGCCUCCACCGUCGGUCGGUUAGCGCCGCCGGCGGCGCGCCCCGCGGCGCCGGAAACUGGCGUCCGCUUCGCAGUCUUCUUCUUAGAGGGAUAAGCGGCAGCAAAAAAUAUACUAGCCGCACGAGAGUUUGAGCCAUAACAGGUCUGUGAUGCCCUUAGAUGUUCUGGGCCGCACGCGCGCUACAAUGGAGAGUUCAGCGAGC
This 1167-nucleotide ribosomal RNA is filed under the name Penaeus vannamei (Pacific white shrimp). RNAcentral describes it as "bacterial SSU rRNA". It matches the Rfam family "Eukaryotic small subunit ribosomal RNA", at positions 496 to 1520 of the family's 1831-position model. The record is from RNAcentral. Lineage: Eukaryota; Metazoa; Arthropoda; Malacostraca; Decapoda; Penaeidae.